Molecule: ribosomal RNA, 464 nt
Filed under: uncultured bacterium
Lineage: Bacteria
Description: partial 16S ribosomal RNA
Rfam family: Bacterial small subunit ribosomal RNA
Source: RNAcentral
GACGAACGCUGGCGGCGUGCUUAACACAUGCCAGUCGAACGGUAAGGCUCCAGCUUGCUGGGGUACACGAGUGGCGAACGGGUGAGUAACACGUGGGUGACCUGCCCUGCACUUCGGGAUAAGCCUGGGAAACUGGGUCUAAUACCGGAUAGGACCGCACCGUGAGGGUGUGGUGGAAAGUUUUUUCGGUGUGGGAUGGGCCCGCGGCCUAUCAGCUUGUUGGUGGGGUAAUGGCCUACCAAGGCGGCGACGGGUAGCCGGCCUGAGAGGGUGGACGGCCACAUUGGGACUGAGACACGGCCCAGACUCCUACGGGAGGCAGCAGUGGGGAAUAUUGCACAAUGGGCGGAAGCCUGAUGCAGCGACGCCGCGUGGGGGAUGACGGCCUUCGGGUUGUAAACUCCUUUCACCAUCGACGAAGGGUUUCUGACGGUAGAUGGAGAAGAAGCACCGGCUAACUACGU